RNAcentral lists this ribosomal RNA (424 nucleotides) under uncultured bacterium. RNAcentral's name for it is "bacterial SSU rRNA". It matches the Rfam family "Bacterial small subunit ribosomal RNA", at positions 359 to 776 of the family's 1533-position model. The record is from RNAcentral.
GAAUUUUGCUCAAUGGGCGAAAGCCUGAAGCAGCAACGCCGCGUGAGGGAUGAAGGCCUUCGGAUUGUAAACUCCUGUUGCCCGGGACGAAUGGCUUCAACCUAAUACGUUGGAGUGUGACGGUACCGGGUGAGGAAGCCCCGGCGAACUCUGUGCCAGCAGCCGCGGUAAUACAGAGGGGGCAAGCGUUGUUCGGAAUUACUGGGCGUAAAGGGCGCGUAGGCGGCCUGCUAAGUCGAACGUGAAAUCCCUGGGCUCAACCCAGGAACUGCGUCCGAUACUGGUUGGCUUGAAUCCGGGAGAGGGAUGUGGAAUUCCAGGUGUAGCGGUGAAAUGCGUAGAUAUCUGGAGGAACACCGGUGGCGAAGGCGACAUCCUGGACCGGUAUUGACGCUGAGGCGCGAAAGCCAGGGGAGCAAACGGG